UACGAAGGGGGCUAGCGUUGUUCGGAAUUACUGGGCGUAAAGCGUGCGCAGGCGGCUUCUCAAGUCAGGGGUGAAAGCCCAGAGCUUAACUCUGGAAUUGCCUUUGAGACUGAGAGGCUUGAGUACGGGAGAGGUGAGUGGAAUUCCCAGUGUAGAGGUGAAAUUCGUAGAUAUUGGGAAGAACACCAGUGGCGAAGGCGGCUCACUGGCCCGGUACUGACGCUGAGGUGCGAAAGCGUGGGGAGCAAACAGG
This 253-nucleotide ribosomal RNA is filed under the name uncultured bacterium. RNAcentral describes it as "partial 16S ribosomal RNA". It matches the Rfam family "Bacterial small subunit ribosomal RNA", at positions 524 to 776 of the family's 1533-position model. The record is from RNAcentral.